CAGUGUACACACAAGAACUAUUCCAUAAUUAGCUCAUUGCAUAUUUAAGGCUUUUGUCUUUUAUUUUCAAAAUCGUAUUGACCAUUAUACCCCUACUCCUCGAUGUUUCUAUCUUCGAUAUUUAUUCUCAAGAACACAUCAGAGUUCUUUUCUCUCUCCUUUCUCAAAAACUCCAACCCCUCCGACAAAACUUUCGACGUUAGAUCUUUGCUCCGGUGCCAUUCUUCUCCGUGCGUGGCCACCGGAGGCUUUCUCCUCUAACUCUCCUCUUUGAUUUUUACUCUGCUUUGCCAUCUUUUGUCCUUUGUUGAUAUGCGUGAUAUUGAAGGGAGGCUCCGCUGAGGGUUGUCUUCAUCCGCUCCGGGGGAUGUAGAUCCGAGGUCGGGGGUUCUUCUCUGGAGUGCUCGUGGUGGUGGAUCGGACUCGGCUCUUCGUCGUUCUCAUCGUGAAUCUCGAUUUUGUCUUUGAAUGUCUUGCGGUGUGAACAGAGGCGGAGGCUAGUGACUGUAACGGUGGGCUCUCUCCUCCUGGUCUGGUCGUGUGGUUAUGCGAAGAGUUACUUUUCGCUGUGGAGUGGAGUGAUUAGCUCUCCCUUGCCGGCGACUUGGGGUCUCGUCGUCCGACGAGGGUCUGUCUGCUACUCAGGGUUGGUGACGUUUCAUUCCCAUCGGAGCGUGCACGGAGUUAAGAAUUCUCGGGAUCUGUCUUCUAUGGCUGCUCCUCCUCUCUUGUUUUGCCCUACCUUUGUCAUGUCCUCCUCAUUGCAAGGGCGUGUUGCUUUGUAUCGAUGUGGAGACUUGUUUGAGUAAACGCCAUCCCAGUGUGUGGUGGAUUGUUUGAUCUUCCCCGUAGGUGUUGUCUCUUAUUUUGCAGGUACUGAAGAACCCUUCUUUUUGCAGGCAUCCUCUCAGCCCGUUUCUAGUCUUUAAAGUUUGUUUCUUUGGCGUAUUCUACCUUUUUUUUUUUUUAAGUUCAUUGUCUUUUGGUGAAUGUUAUUUCAGUCUGAUUUUGGUACCUUAACUGAACGAUUAUUUAGCUGGUGAAAUUGAAGAAAGAAAAUGUUGUUUUCUUGUGACUAUUAGCUUCUUCAUAAUGACUUUUUGCUUGUUAUUCGCCUUAAUUAAAGUUGCUUUGGUUAAUAUUUUAAUUAGCUUUGCACUUCUUUGUUAAACGUAAAACAUAUCACAUAGCAUUUAACAAUUCUUUUGUAAUUUUAUCUCUGGUGAUCAUGUUUCUUUGUACAAAAUACAUUUUUCAUCUGUGGUUAUAACAUGAAUUUUUUACUCUCUGAGACACUUUACCACUUUGGAAUUUCAUUUCAAGACACUUUCAACAUGUGACAUACUUUUAGGCAAGUGAAAGUCAUAUAUGCUCUCUUCCCAUAAAAACGUGAACAAACCAAACUAUCAUAUUGGUUCUAUCGAUACUGGUUUAAUUUCUGUACCAAACCCUUUUUUAUCAUUUCCCUACCUUAAUUUCAAAUCUAAAAUUCAGUCUCUCGCGAAGUUCCUCUUACGGUGAUUUUCAAAAACCCUAGAUCCCCUUUCACAAAUCGUUCUUCACAUCCGCUCUUUUGCUGAAUUUGGUUCACCUUUAGAACACGCCACAUAUCGCAGACUUCCGAAUCACACCGUCGCUGUCAUCAUUUUGUUCUUUGAGUUCAAGACAUGCAAGGUUUGUCUUGUUGUGGUCAGAUUAGCUUUAGUAUCAAGUUUCAAAACGCAUCUGAGACAUGAGAUUAUGCAGAGCUUUCCACGGUGGGUAAGCGUUUCGAUAUGGCCAGAUUCGGCAAAAAAACGGGGUUUUAAAAUGUUUUUCAGAUUUAGUACUUAAAAUCAAAUGUAACCGAAUAGAUCUAUCAAUUUAACUCAAAAACAAUAUGAAAAACGUGAUAUUUUGAUGUAUUGUGACAAUAUUCUAUGGUCGUCCAUGAAAGUAUUGCAGGCGAAGUAAACACAAUUUAGAAGAAGAAGAUCACUAUAAUUACGAUUUUGCCAUUAUUGUAGAAACAAAAAAAAAGCAAAAAUAACAAAUCAUUUGAACAUUGGGCAUGUACCGGUCUUCAAAUAUGAUGUUCAACUCCACAAACAUGUCCUCCAGAGUCCUCCCGUUCAUGCCUUUGUCGAAGGCAUCAAUGUAUACACAUCCCUUGUCCACAACUCUUCUAUCCCCAAUUCUCCCUGUCCACACCUCCCUUGUCCACACACCUAUACAAACCAACUUACACUUCCACAUACUCACCAUCCAUAACUCAUUCAUUCAAAUUGCACCGUCCACAACACAUUCUUUCGAAUUGCACCAUCCAUAACACAUUGUCCAUGAUACCAUGUCCACUUAAUUUAGUUUUAAAUUUUAUAAAAACUAAUGUAUGAAUGAGUUUAAAUUGCACCGUCCACAACAUAUUGUCCACAAUACCGUGUCCACAUAAUUCAAUUUUAAAUUUUACAAAAAUUAAAAUAUUAAAAUAAAUAUAUACAUAUGGAUCUCAAAACAUAGAAAAAAAAAAUUAUAAUUUACUAUAUAUAUUAUUUAUCAAAUUUAGUUACUAUAAUACGAGAUAAUAAAAAAUAGAAUCUGUUGAGGAAACUAAAAAACCUUUGACAAAGAUACAGAACUGAUGUCGUAUACUCAGUUCCUGCAUACCCACAUUUAAUUUCAGCCUUCGGAUUGUGAGCAUCCAUGUGCCAUCCAACGGUAAAGAAUAAAUCAUUUCUAUUAAUAAACAUAAAACAUUAAUGCAUUAUAGGAAACAAGGACCAAACCAAACCGGUUUCCUAUAUUGGAAUACCAAACUGCCGAAGCUCUCAAUAAGGGCAUUGUUGUCUAACCAUGUACUACAAGACAAGGAAAACUGAAAAAGUGUCUCAAAUGUUGAAUGUGCCUCUGAGUGUAAGACAAACUCAGAAUGUGGCCCAUAGUGUAACAAACUCUUAUAACAUCCACAAGAUUAACUGUGGUUCCAUUAAUUCUACAACUGAAGAUGAUAAAUUACAUUAACGUUACAAGAGAAUUUGACAAACCAAAAAAAUCCAACAUUUUGAUAAACUCAUUUGUAACCGUUUUCAGAAAACAUACUACAUUCUUGAAAUUGUUCAUAUAUGGUUAAAGAAAGUUUAGCCACAAAAACAUCCCAAAACAAGCUAAACUUUUUUGUUACCAACAAAUUUGACAAGGUGGUCAAAAUUAUCCAUUGAAGGUUAUAUAUUACAUUAAUGGUUAUAAAAGAGCUUGUCAAACCAAAAUAAUCUGACACCUCGCUAAACUCUUAUGUAACCGUUUUCAGAAAACAUACUACAUCCUUAAAAUAUUUAUAUACUGAUUACAAGAAAGUUUAGCCACAAAAACAUGCCAAAACAAGCUAAACUUUUUUGUUACCGAACAAAUUUGACAAGGUAGUUACAUUAUCCAUUGAAGGUUAUAUAUUACAUUAAUGGUUAUAAGAGAACUUGUCAAACCAAAAUAAUCUGACACCUUGUUAAACUCUUAUGUAACCGUUUUCAGAAAACAUACUACAUCCUUAAAAUAUUUAUAUACUGAUUAGAAGAAAGUUUAGCCACAAAAACAUCCCAAAACAAGCUAAACUUUUAUAUAACCGACCAAAAAGGCUACAACACUCUUUUUACACUCACCUUUCCAAAGAUGAACACAACAAACCAUCUCCUGAAAAAAAUAAGAAAUUGUUGCUUUACCAAAAACAGAAUAAGAACACUGAUUUAGUCAAUUAUCUACAGUAAAAGUUUACAAAAUAGCAUUUUGCAAGAUGAAGACACUUUUAUAUGUGAUGAAACGCUGACAUGAGAUCUCUCGCUUUGUGCGCAAACUAGUUCUGAGCCGCUACCGUCUUGAUUGUCGGAGAGUGACUCAAAAAAUCUUCGAAAUGAACUAUGGGAGAGAGAACUCAGAACCUUAUUUUGGGACUGUGUUGAUGAAUGUUGAGUGAGAUCAAAUGAUUAUUUAGAGGAAGAAAAUGGAGAAAAAAGCAGAACAAACUCAUGAUUUUUUUUUUUAGAAUCAUUGGAAACAAAAAAGAAACAGGAAAUGAAGGUGGAAAAAGAAGACAACGAUAAUGAAAAAGAAAAAUAAAAAUUUUGUUUUUUUAAAAUAGAAUGGCUGGAUUAACGGGAGUGGGAAAUAAAUUUUUAGUUAAUCAUUACCAAUCUCUCCACAAUUGCUUUUAAAACCACUAGAGUGUUUCUCCGGGCUACGCCCGGAUAAUUUACUUAAUUUGCUUAAUAAUAUUAUAGUAGUACAUGGUGGAGCCGGAUACGUUGAUGAUGCAUUGUGUUGUUUUGGUAUUGUGAUUUUAUCGUUAGGUUUUUAAAGGUUUUGUUUUCCCAUGUUACCUAUAAUUGUCUAUGAAUAGAACAAUGGAAAUUAUUUAGCUAACAUUAAUUUAUAACAAUAUUAUAUUACUAAUUACGAAAUUAAUUAAUAUGUUAUUUUAUAAAAAUAUUUAAAAUUUAAAGUAAGAUUUUGUUAGAUUCUUCUUCAACAGAUUUUAUUAUACUUUAAAAGAAAAUUCAAAUUUAUAGUUGAUUCAUUAUUAAUGUAAAUAAUCAAAUAUGUCAUAUUAACUAAUUCUUUAAAUGGUCCUACUAUCACUUGUUAAUGGUAGAUAAAAAUAGAACCCUAAAUUAAUAGAUUAGAUUUGUAAAAUUAUUUGAUUGGCUAACGGUUUAGUAAAAUAAACGAUUUGAUCGGUUUACUGACUCGUGUCGUGUGUGUGUAGUGUUUUGAAAAUCUCACUAACACGAGCGUUUCUUGGUGGGCUGGGCCUACUUUCUGAAAACUUCAUUCAUGGAAGUUUUUGCCAGUACAAUAAAAACUUGAGUAAUUGCAGUGUACACACAAGAACUAUUCCAUAAUUAGCUCAUUGCAUAUUUAAGGCUUUUGUCUUUUAUUUUCAAAAUCGUAUUGACCAUUAUACCCCUACUCCUCGAUGUUUCUAUCUUCGAUAUUUAUUCUCAAGAACACAUCAGAGUUCUUUUCUCUCUCCUUUCUCAAAAACUCCAACCCCUCCGACAAAACUUUCGACGUUAGAUCUUUGCUCCGGUGCCAUUCUUCUCCGUGCGUGGCCACCGGAGGCUUUCUCCUCUAACUCUCCUCUUUGAUUUUUACUCUGCUUUGCCAUCUUUUGUCCUUUGUUGAUAUGCGUGAUAUUGAAGGGAGGCUCCGCUGAGGGUUGUCUUCAUCCGCUCCGGGGGAUGUAGAUCCGAGGUCGGGGGUUCUUCUCUGGAGUGCUCGUGGUGGUGGAUCGGACUCGGCUCUUCGUCGUUCUCAUCGUGAAUCUCGAUUUUGUCUUUGAAUGUCUUGCGGUGUGAACAGAGGCGGAGGCUAGUGACUGUAACGGUGGGCUCUCUCCUCCUGGUCUGGUCGUGUGGUUAUGCGAAGAGUUACUUUUCGCUGUGGAGUGGAGUGAUUAGCUCUCCCUUGCCGGCGACUUGGGGUCUCGUCGUCCGACGAGGGUCUGUCUGCUACUCAGGGUUGGUGACGUUUCAUUCCCAUCGGAGCGUGCACGGAGUUAAGAAUUCUCGGGAUCUGUCUUCUAUGGCUGCUCCUCCUCUCUUGUUUUGCCCUACCUUUGUCAUGUCCUCCUCAUUGCAAGGGCGUGUUGCUUUGUAUCGAUGUGGAGACUUGUUUGAGUAAACGCCAUCCCAGUGUGUGGUGGAUUGUUUGAUCUUCCCCGUAGGUGUUGUCUCUUAUUUUGCAGGUACUGAAGAACCCUUCUUUUUGCAGGCAUCCUCUCAGCCCGUUUCUAGUCUUUAAAGUUUGUUUCUUUGGCGUAUUCUACCUUUUUUUUUUUUUAAGUUCAUUGUCUUUUGGUGAAUGUUAUUUCAGUCUGAUUUUGGUACCUUAACUGAACGAUUAUUUAGCUGGUGAAAUUGAAGAAAGAAAAUGUUGUUUUCUUGUGACUAUUAGCUUCUUCAUAAUGACUUUUUGCUUGUUAUUCGCCUUAAUUAAAGUUGCUUUGGUUAAUAUUUUAAUUAGCUUUGCACUUCUUUGUUAAACGUAAAACAUAUCACAUAGCAUUUAACAAUUCUUUUGUAAUUUUAUCUCUGGUGAUCAUGUUUCUUUGUACAAAAUACAUUUUUCAUCUGUGGUUAUAACAUGAAUUUUUUACUCUC
RNAcentral lists this long non-coding RNA (6125 nucleotides) under Brassica napus (rape). RNAcentral describes it as "long non-coding RNA (BNAP_LNC005831)". The record is from RNAcentral. Lineage: Eukaryota; Viridiplantae; Streptophyta; Magnoliopsida; Brassicales; Brassicaceae.